RNAcentral lists this ribosomal RNA (467 nucleotides) under uncultured bacterium. RNAcentral's name for it is "partial 16S ribosomal RNA". It matches the Rfam family "Bacterial small subunit ribosomal RNA", at positions 28 to 506 of the family's 1533-position model. The record is from RNAcentral.
GACGAACGCUGGCGGCGUGCUUAACACAUGCAAGUCGAACGGAAAGGCCCUGCUUUUGUGGGGUGCUCGAGUGGCGAACGGGUGAGUAACACGUGAGUAACCUGCCCUUGACUUUGGGAUAACUUCAGGAAACUGGGGCUAAUACCGGAUAGGAGCUCCUGCUGCAUGGUGGGGGUUGGAAAGUUUCGGCGGUUGGGGAUGGACUCGCGGCUUAUCAGCUUGUUGGUGGGGUAAUGGCUUACCAAGGCUUUGACGGGUAGCCGGCCUGAGAGGGUGACCGGCCACAUUGGGACUGAGAUACGGCCCAGACUCCUACGGGAGGCAGCAGUGGGGAAUAUUGCACAAUGGGCGGAAGCCUGAUGCAGCAACGCCGCGUGCGGGAUGACGGCCUUCGGGUUGUAAACCGCUUUCGCCUGUGACGAAGCGUGAGUGACGGUAAUGGGGAAAGAAGCACCGGCUAACUACGU